GAUGAACGCUAGCGGCAGGCCUAACACAUGCAAGUCGAGGGGUAGCAGGAUUAAGCUUGCUUAAUUGCUGACGACCGGCGCACGGGUGCGUAACGCGUAUGCAACCUACCUUAUACUGGGGUAUAGCCCGGAGAAAUUCGGAUUAAUCCCCCAUAGUACUAAUGAAUCGCAUGGUUUAUUAGUUAAAGCAUUGCGGUAUAAGAUGGGCAUGCGUCCUAUUAGCUAGAUGGUGAGGUAACGGCUCACCAUGGCUACGAUAGGUAGGGGGCCUGAGAGGGUGGUCCCCCACACUGGUAAUGAGACACCGACCAGACUCCUACGGGAGGCAGCAGUGAGGAAUAUUGGUCAAUGGGCGCAAGCCUGAACCAGCCAUGCCGCGUGCAGGAAGAAUGCCCCAUGGGUUGUAAACUGCUUUUAUUUGGGAAUAAACCUCUUUACGUGUAGAGAGCUGAAGGUACCAAAUGAAUAAGCACCGGCUAACUCCGUGCCAGCAGCCGCAGUAA
Molecule: ribosomal RNA, 503 nt
Filed under: uncultured bacterium
Lineage: Bacteria
Description: partial 16S ribosomal RNA
Rfam family: Bacterial small subunit ribosomal RNA
Source: RNAcentral